ACACGUAGGGGCCUGACGUUGUUCGGAAUCAUUGGGCGUAAAGGGCGCGCAGGCGGCCGUCCAAGUCCGGUGUUAAAUGGUCGGGCUCAACCCGAUCAUGCGCUGGAAACUGGGCGGCUUGAGUCCCGUAGGGGAUGCCGGAAUUCCAGGUGUAGGGGUGAAAUCUGUAGAUAUCUGGAAGGACACCGAUGGCGAAGGCAGGCAUCUGGCCGGAGACUGACGCUGAGGCGCGAAGGCGCGGGGAGCGAACAGGUUUAGAUACCCUGGUAGUCCGCGCAGUAAACGAUGCGCACCAGGUGUCGGGCGGCAGCGCCCGGUACCGGAGCUAACGCGAUGAGUGCGCCGCCUGGGGAGUAUGCCCGCAAGGGUGAAACUCAAAUGAAUUGGCGGGG
Molecule: ribosomal RNA, 392 nt
Filed under: uncultured bacterium
Lineage: Bacteria
Description: partial 16S ribosomal RNA
Rfam family: Bacterial small subunit ribosomal RNA
Source: RNAcentral